This is a long non-coding RNA of Pan troglodytes (chimpanzee), 606 nucleotides long. RefSeq lists it as uncharacterized. NCBI's taxonomy places the organism in Eukaryota, Metazoa, Chordata, Mammalia, Primates, Hominidae. The record is from RefSeq and is a predicted model, not a curated record. The transcript has 2 exons.
GCAGAAUGAACAGUAAUCCCAGAGACCCUGAGAUGAGAAAAGGGUGUUUGACUUAUUCAAAGAAGACCAAGGAAGCCCAAAGACCAGAGAAGAGUGCAGGAAAGGGGCGGUGGUCUGAGAUGCAGUCAGAGCAGUGGCAAGCCCCCAGAGUCUGUGGCAAAGACUUCAGGUUUCAUCCUGAAGAGGAAGACAGGUCUUUGGAGAGUUUUGAUCAAGGAAGUGAGAUGAAAUAUCUUAGGCUUAAAAAGAACUACUCUGACAUCUAAAUGGAAAAUGGACUGAUGAAGCAAAAGAAGCCACAAGGAAGCCAGUUCAGAGGCUAUUGAAAUGCUCCAGCUGAACAGAAUCCCGACAUAAGUUUGGGAUCAUGAACCCAUGACAUCAACAUAGUCAGGUUGAGUAUGAAGAACACUGUGCUGUGGUGACAGGGAGCCUGGUUUCUUCCUGGUUUUGGCAUUAGCUCUAUGUGUGACCUCAACCAAGUCACUCAAGCUGUUACAGUCUCUCUAUGUGGAUGAAAUGAAGGGGUUGAAAUAGCUACUCACUGUAGCUCUGAAUGGCUAUAAUUCUAUGAAACUAGAAAAGAAUAAAAUGUGUUUAUAGUCA